GAACCUCAGAUUGAGGAGAUCUUUAAGAAAGCUGGCCACCCCUUCAUGUGGAACCAGCACCUGGGCUACGUGCUCACCUGCCCAUCCAACCUGGGCACUGGGCUGCGUGGAGGCGUGCAUGUGAAGCUGGCGCACCUGAGCAAGCACCCCAAGUUCGAGGAGAUCCUCACCCGCCUGCGUCUGCAGAAGAGGGGUACAGGUACGGCUCCCACA
RNAcentral lists this long non-coding RNA (213 nucleotides) under Homo sapiens (human). RNAcentral describes it as "non-protein coding lnc-ERCC2-2:1". The record is from RNAcentral. Lineage: Eukaryota; Metazoa; Chordata; Mammalia; Primates; Hominidae.